RNAcentral lists this unclassified non-coding RNA (868 nucleotides) under Helichrysum schimperi. RNAcentral's name for it is "contains 5' external transcribed spacer, ETS". Lineage: Eukaryota; Viridiplantae; Streptophyta; Magnoliopsida; Asterales; Asteraceae. The record is from RNAcentral.
GUUGCGUCACGGGUCGAUUUAAUCACGACUUAUGAGUGACAAUAUACUCGAUGUCGAAGGCACUGUAACCCAACAAGUGGGGAGUUCGAUUUGGUUGGGACAAAUCGAACGAUCUGCGGUAGCAUCGACAAUCGCGUGGUGUGGAUGCAAGUUGAGCCAUGCCCGGAUGUUGUUGUUACUUUGUGAUGUUGAAAGGUGAUGCAAGGGUUUCUUGGUUUGAUGCGUUGUUGUUGAUGACAUUCGUCUCGAGGUGAUGCGGUGUCAUGUUGCUUGUGUAUCCUGGUUUUGAGCUAUUGAGCUUAAAACAUGUGGACUAUCGGUUAGUGACACGGCAUCGCUCCCUUGGUUGAUGAAAGUCAUCCAAUGAUGCGGUGGUUUGUUUGUUUUCUUCUCGCAUCGCUCGGUGCAUUCUGUGGUCAUUUUGGCUGUUGGCAGCUUGCUUGGCAAUUGAGCUUUGUGGGUUGCUACUGGUUGGGUGUCUUCGGGGAUGUCUACCGUAAAGGUGCAUGAGUGGUGUUUGGUUUGUUACGGGUGGUUGGCUCUUUGCUUGCGCAACAACUUCUACCCGGCAUACCUCUUCAGUCUUGUGUCAAUGCUUGUAUUGCAUUGAAUGCACGACGGGUUUCUUGUGUUGCAUGCCUACUUAAUGGUAUCGUUUGUCAAAUUGGUUUUCCUUUUUAUCUUGUGUUGCCUAUGCGAUGUGAGAUGAACCUUGAAGCAGCCUUUGUGAUCCACUAUUUUGAUGCAUUGCAUUGAUUUUGUGGCCCAUUGAGUGUUGUUCGGUCUCAUGGAUAUGGAACCUGGUGUGGGCAUGGAAUCUUAAUGGUUCCUUGUUUGCCCAAGUUUAGCUUUUCUAAAACGAUUGUCU